This is a non-coding RNA of Triticum urartu, 1554 nucleotides long. Lineage: Eukaryota; Viridiplantae; Streptophyta; Magnoliopsida; Poales; Poaceae. The record is from RefSeq and is a predicted model, not a curated record.
UUAGUUCUAAAGCAACUAUAUUAAUUAGUGGCCCAAUUCUUCUCAAAGUUACUAGGAUGUAAGUCCUUCUUACCCUCAAUCUACCAGACAACUCCCUUGACCUCAACCAAGUCUUUGUGGAUCAGCAGUGCUCGAUCAAGUUUACUGCAGUAAACUUUAGAGGUGGUUUACCACUUAACCAGAGCACUUUUAACGAAACUCCCACCACGGUUGGAACCUCCCCAGGAAGGACUCCAUCCCAGACAUCGGUUGUCAUUGCUUGUGGCACUGUGUGCACCAGUGCGCGCGGUGACCACCGCUUUGGCAUGCAAUGCGCGCGCUCUGCUGGCGUUGGCCCCGUCCAGGGCGUCUUCUUGCUCGGGCCCCUCCUCCUCUCGUCGCCUUCGCGCUCAUGAACCUGUCCAACAGCUGGCCCGCAUCGUCGUCGUCCUCCUGGAGCUAUCUCCCCCUCCGUCAGCCCCUCUAUCAGUGCUCGUCGCCGCGCGCCCACGGGCGUACUGUGGCCGACUGAGCAUUAACGGCGCCGUGGCCGUUUCCCCUCUUGUCCUCGAUCUCCGCUCGUCUCCGUGACCUCUGUGGCUCGUCCGUUGCCUUCGUCGUCGCCUUCCCCGAGCUCAUGCGCAAGCACACGCGUCCGCGGCACCGGCCACGUGUUUGCAGUGACGCCAGCGCGGCAAGCCCUCGCCCUGCCUAUAAAUAGGCCUUCCCCGAGCCGUUCGAGCACACCAGCGGCCUCCGCACACUCCUCUAGCCCUCCCCAGCCCCUCGCCCAAGCCUCUGGAGCUCUCCUACUCCACCAUUGCUACCAUGGCCGCCGCGGCCACUCUCCUCGAUUUGCUCAAGCCCGAGCCCCUCUCCCACUUCCUCCUCCAUUAAAGCUCCUACCAGCCCCUGGCGGAGCUCCCUCACCGUUCCCCUACUCUACCCGAGCCCCGUAGCACCUGGUUCACCGGCGCCCGAAGCAGUCGUCCGCCGCGGCUGGCUUCCCGCGCUCUUCCAAGCUCGUCGGUGGCCGUACCCUACCUGAAGGGGACCGCCUCAUCCUGCUGAUCAUGCCAGUAGGUCAGGUGCCUCGAAUGGUGGACCAUGCCGCCGGCUAUCGUCGUCGGGCCGGCCGGCCUCGCCCUCUGUCUCCUCCCCGUCGCGAGCUAGAAGAAGGAGCCAGGAGGAGAGCGAGUGGAUAAGGCGGGACCCGCCCGUCAGCCGCACGGCGCCCCGUUCCCCCCCACCUAGCUGGAUAAGUGACGGGCCCCACAGCCCGUGGGACCCGCACGUCAGCGAAACAAGCCCCGGCCCCGCCCCUGCUGACUGGAUUAAGUGGAGGCGUACUUAGUCGAGUACGUUUUCACCUCGGGAAAGAGUAUUUUCCCUCUGCUUCAGCUCAGAGGACUUGUUUGUGAUGAUAUUUUUGCAGAAAAGUGCCUGAACUUCAACCCUUCGUAUCUUUUUAACCACAACUCCAAAUGAGCCCCUCCAAGAGAGAACUGUUUUCGGCAAAUCUUUUCGCGGCUUCACCACACUUUUUCCCGGUGCCUUCUUCACCCCCAGGCAAGC